UACGGGGGGGGGCAAGCGUUGUUCGGAAUCACUGGGCGUAAAGGGUGCGUAGGCGGGUCUUUAAGUCAGGGGUGAAAUCCUGGAGCUCAACUCCAGAACUGCCUUUGAUACUGAAGAUCUUGAGUUCGGGAGAGGUGAGUGGAACUGCGAGUGUAGAGGUGAAAUUCGUAGAUAUUCGCAAGAACACCAGUGGCGAAGGCGGCUCACUGGCCCGAUACUGACGCUGAGGCACGAAAGCGUGGGGAGCAAACAGG
Molecule: ribosomal RNA, 254 nt
Filed under: uncultured bacterium
Lineage: Bacteria
Description: partial 16S ribosomal RNA
Rfam family: Bacterial small subunit ribosomal RNA
Source: RNAcentral